Molecule: ribosomal RNA, 375 nt
Filed under: uncultured organism
Description: partial 16S ribosomal RNA
Rfam family: Bacterial small subunit ribosomal RNA
Source: RNAcentral
GUAGGUGGCAAGCGUUGUCCGGAAUUAUUGGGCGUAAAGCGCGCGCAGGCGGUUCUUUAAGUCUGAUGUGAAAGCCCACGGCUCAACCGUGGAGGGUCAUUGGAAACUGGAGAACUUGAGUACAGAAGAGGAAAGCGGAAUUCCACGUGUAGCGGUGAAAUGCGUAGAGAUGUGGAGGAACACCAGUGGCGAAGGCGGCUUUCUGGUCUGUAACUGACGCUGAGGCGCGAAAGCGUGGGGAGCAAACAGGAUUAGAUACCCUGGUAGUCCACGCCGUAAACGAUGAGUGCUAAGUGUUAGGGGGGUUUUCCGGCCCCCCUUAGUGCUGCAGCUAACGCAUUAAGCACUCCGCCUGGGAGUACGGCCGCAAGGCUG